UGGGGAAUCUUCCGCAAUGGGCGCAAGCCUGACGGAGCAAUGCCGCGUGAACGAAGAAGGUCUUCGGAUUGUAAAGUUCUGUCCUUAUCGAAGAGAGGGUAUAGAGUGAAAAAUGAUAUACUAGGACGGUAGAUGAGGAGGAAGCCCCGGCUAACUACGUGCC
RNAcentral lists this ribosomal RNA (163 nucleotides) under uncultured bacterium. RNAcentral's name for it is "partial 16S ribosomal RNA". It matches the Rfam family "Bacterial small subunit ribosomal RNA", at positions 355 to 509 of the family's 1533-position model. The record is from RNAcentral.